AGUUUAGGAUGCUUCGAGGGAAAGAUGAACCGGGGAACCGCCACCGUGACUAUUUCUCAUCUACAUAUCCACCCCACCGAAAUUCUUAAGGUGGAGUGGACUUCAUUUUAUUUGCAAAUGUGGAAGGCAUUAUAAAAACCGUGAAUGAUGCCCCCUCCCAUGAGGGAUACAGGGAGAGCCACAUGAAGAGGAUGUUGGGCUUCUUCAAGCUGGGAGGGCACUGAGCUGACUGUUUACCACACUCACCAGGGGCCUUUGUGCAUCCUGUGGGGCAGCUCUGGGAAAGG
RNAcentral lists this long non-coding RNA (287 nucleotides) under Pongo abelii (Sumatran orangutan). RNAcentral's name for it is "lincRNA". Lineage: Eukaryota; Metazoa; Chordata; Mammalia; Primates; Hominidae. The record is from RNAcentral.